GUGUACCUAAUCUCAAACCCGUAUCCGUUUCGAAACGUGUCGUGCACUUUUCGUGUAGUUUUCGUGUACAUUUAAUAUAAAUAUAAUAAUUAAAUUUAAUUAAAAUAUAUUUUAAAAAAAUACAUUUUUUAUGUAUUAUUUAAUGAAAUAUAUGCAUUUUUAUGUAUUAUAUAGUGAAAUAUAUAUUAAAUCUUUAUAUAUGUAUACAAUUGUGUAAAAAUUUGUACAUGUAUAUAUAUUAUAUAUAUAAAUAGAGUCAUACUCCAGUGAGAACCAAUCUUAUGAUGAGAUAUGAGAUCUAAUCUCAGCCACUCAUUUAAAUACAUUAUAUUCAUCUCUUACCAUUCAUUUAAUAUUUUAAUAUUUCACCAUCUUCUAAUUCAACUACCUAUCACCUUCAACCACCGUUGACCACCACCACCAGCUCCGGCGACCACCAGAAAAUCACUGCCGGCAAACAUAAAAUCACCACCAAAAAAUCAAAAAUCACCGCCAAAAAAUCAAAAAUCAACGCCAGAAAAUUAAAAUCACCACACCACCAUCAGCUACAAACCACCACCGCCACCCCCCAAAUCCGAAAAAUCACCAAAUACAAAACAAAAUGACCAUCAGAAAAAAUAAAAAACACAACUGAAAAUCAUCAUUUUCAAUUCAUCAGCUUCCUCACUAUCUCUCUCAACCUCCUCUCUCUCUCUCCACAUCCACACGCUCUCUCUCAUUCACUACAUCCAACCUCUAUUUCUGCCCAUAUCCAUCAUUAACUCCGACCAUAACAAAAAUUACUAUAUUAAUUGUAAAGCACCACAAACAAACACCAUCGACAAAAUGAAAUCACCACCGUAAAAACAAAAAUCACCGAACCUCCGCCAAUACCAUCUCUAGAUCGGAGUAUCGAAAUCGGAGAUGAUGUGGAUCGACGAUGAAUAGAGAAGAAACAAAAUGAAAGAAUAAGGAUGGGGCUUUUAGAGGGGAGGAAGUAGUCGUGUUUCUGGAGAGAGAGAUCUGUGUUUUUUGUGUGCGUGGCUGGAGACGAGGUCGUCGCCUCGACUACGACGAUGUUGUAGAUCUGGUGGUUGCAUAGCAGCAGCAAUAACGGGUAGUGACGGAUGGCAGUAGAGGGUGGAGGUGGGCAGUGGAGGGGGGGAGGGAAGAGGGAGAGUGUAAUAAAAGAAAAUGUUAAAAUAUAAAUGCGUGGUUGUGAUUUGAUUUAGGGAUAAAAAUGUGGGGCUGAGAUUAGAUCUCAUAUCUCACAUUAGUUGAGAUUCUCAUUUGAGCACUUGCCUAUAUAAAUAUAUAUAUAUAUAUUUACACGAACAUAUACUUAUUUUUUUAAAAAUAUAUAUAUAUAUAUAUAUAUAUAUAUAUAUAUAUAUNAUAUAUUUUUACACGAAUAUAUACUUAUUUUUUUAAAAAAAUAUAUAUAUCGUGUACAUUCGUGUAUAUAAAAUAAAAACCCGAACCCGACACUAAAUUCAACGUGUAUUUUCGUGUUCGUGUACCGAAUAUUGAAAACCAAACCCGAACUUUUCGUGUCGUGUUCGUGUCGUGUUUUCGUGUCGUGUACCAAAUUGCCAGGUCUAAUACAGAUGCACCUAGCACCUUCCACAAUAAACCAAAAAAACCCCAGUUGCUGAUGUGGCAGGUGUAGAGUGGAUGUUACAAAUCUAGACAGUCUAAAAUGGUGGGUGAAACAGCUAGGAUACACGUAAGUCUGAUCUCGAUCACCUCUGAUCUACAUUUAUGUUUGCAAUAGGAUAUACUCGAAUAUUACCCAUUUUAUUUUUUUAUUAUUUCGUUUUGUCAUUUUUAAUCAUUAGCUUCGCUUCUUUCUCAGUUCGCUACAUAUCCUAUCUUAAUCUCAUGGCUUUGUGGGGCCCACACAGUCAGAUUACAGCCACGGUUUCCAUCCUGGCUUCAUCGUGGUCGUUGAUUUACAAGAUUUUUAGAUCACGUGGGACCCGCGAAAAUAAUUGUGUUGUGUGAUUAAAAUCUUAAAAUAGGACGCGGCGUUCAGCAGUGUUUAUGAUUUUUUUGUUGAAUGUUUAUCGAGUCAAUUUUACAAAUAUACCCCUCACAAAUUGAUAGAUUUGUGGUGAGGAAAUGGGUAGGAUGGUCAUUUCGGUGGUUUAAUUAUUGUGGACGAGAUAAACGUUGUAUUCGGGAUAAUUUGUAAGUGGUAUUCCGAAAGAACCACGUUUUAAAUAUUAUAUUGGCCAUCAAACAAGAUGUGACUCCCUCGCAAGUGGCUUGCCGGUGAUUUAUCGCUAACAACAUUGAUUAGAGUUAAAUUAAUCUAAUAAGCAUCUUUUGCACUAAUGAAGCAAGUGUCCAAACUCGUUAAGUUUGGUCCCAGCUCGACUAGUUGAAUACAUCUGCUGCAGCCUCGUUUCAGUAACACAAAUGCAGAGCACCACCCUCUUUUUUCUUGUUAAACCACACCAGCAGAAGUAUUUCAACGAUGAGAAGAGCAACUCACUGGCACCUGCAAAGAUGUAAAUUUCUGGGGGCACUAAACAACUUUUCGGAAAAAAUUAUAUAUAUUUUUAAAUUUUGUGAGGAUAUUUUUAUAAUUUUAUAAAAUUUAGAAUGAUGAAAAUUUGUAAAAAUGAAUUUUGGGGUACACGUGUCCUCCGUCUCUCUUCUUAGAUCCGCCCCGCACCUACGGGUACCGUGUAGUUGCCAAUAUAACAAAAUUAUCAUUUUUUGUAUAUAUUAUAAUUUUCACAUCAUUUUCAUUAUCUAUUUUGUGAAAAAUAUUCCCACAAUUGAUAUUAUUAGACAUCAAUUUUAUUCAAAAUAGUCUAUUUGUAAUUGGAACCAUAAAAUAUAUUUUAUUUAAAAUUGAAAUUAGAAGUAAAGGCCACACCGAUUUUAUGAGAUGUCAAUUUUGACAUCCCAAAUUAAAUACUUAAAUACAUUAUUCGACGUCAUAAUUUUGACAUUUAUAACUUCGAUAAAAUGAUAACAAAAAUGUCACAUAAUAUUAAAAAAAAAUUUUAUCACAGCUUAUUGGAGCUGCUCUUGACAGGGAGAGUCACCGGUUACCGGGCAAGUCGGCGCCAGAAUCUGCAUUACCGAGCUCCGAAAAGUCGCGCAUAGGCAGCAGUCUUCAACCUGCUUUUGAAACUGUCAGCCUAAUUUAGAAAAGGACGGAGAAAGCAAUGUUAAAGUCCAGGUUCAAAAUAUCUUCAAUCAAUUUGAUCGAUUAAUCAUUCUAUUAAUUUUUACGGAAUAUCUUCGUCCCUCUGAUUUCUAUACACUUUCCUUUUUGGGAUGUCUCAUUCAAUUGUAUACAUUUAGAAACUUUCCCAAAAUAGUAAACUUUUAUAAUAUAAAAAUGUCACCCACCCACUACUUCCAUCUACUUUUUCAAUUCUAUCAAUUAAAUAUGCAUGGGUCCCACCACUUUACCUACUUUUCUUUCUCUUUCUCAUUACUUUACACUACUUUAUACACUUCUCCUAGUCUCCGUGUCCAUCCCAAACGUAUACAUCCCAUAGGACGGAGGGAGUAACAUAUAUUGGUCAAACUAAUAUAACUUGUUUAUUAGAUUAAAUAUCAAAUAUUAUUUAAUAUAUCCGAUUAAUAUUCCAACUCAUCACUAAACUAUGACUCCAUCAAUUAAAUAUUAUUUAAUAUAUCCGAUUAAUGUUCCGACUCAUCAUUAAACUAUGACUCCAUCAAUUAAGUCGAAUUUAUACAUUUUAAAAUACCGUCUAUAAUAUAUAAAAUCAACAAAAUAUUUGCGUUUAAAUUUAAUGUCAAAAAUAUACCACUUCUCGUGAUCAAAUGCGAUCUAGAAGAUAUUCUCAAUGUUUAGAACAUAAUAACCUAUACUAUAUUUAGGAUUUUAGUUAGAACAUGUUGAAAUUAUUUUAAAAGAGUAUUUAGAGAUUAUUGUCUAAUGUUAAGAGUAACUCCAACGGAAUCACUUGUUAGCUAAAAUUGUGAGUGGCACCCAUUAUACAAAUCUUUUAAAAUUUUAAGUACUCCAACGAGAUCAGCUAAAAUUUUAGCUAUCAAGUUUUCAUCCUUCAAAUUUGCUGAUUCUCUCUCCGUUAUCUAUAUGAGCUCCACCUCAGCUUUCUGUCUCUUUUACCGUUUCCUCCUGUUCAUUUUACAUGUAAGUAUGUAUUAUUAAAAUUUAAAAACUAUAUUAAAUAUUUACAAUUUGUUACUUUUAUGUAAUAUUAAGUGUAAAAUUAUCUUAUCAUAAAAAAUAUAAAAAAAUUUAUUGUUAACAAAUUUAUUAAUUACUUAUAAUUAUUUCGUAUUAGAUUAUACAUUUAAAACCUAUUGAUAAAUUAAUAUAAUAAAAAUAGUGUUUCUAGUUUUAAAAAUUAUCUUAUUUUAAAAUAUUUGAAUAAAAUUUGGGAAUUAAUU
This 4383-nucleotide long non-coding RNA is filed under the name Daucus carota (carrot). RNAcentral describes it as "long non-coding RNA (DCAR_LNC000759)". Lineage: Eukaryota; Viridiplantae; Streptophyta; Magnoliopsida; Apiales; Apiaceae. The record is from RNAcentral.